This 256-nucleotide ribosomal RNA is filed under the name uncultured bacterium. RNAcentral's name for it is "partial 16S ribosomal RNA". It matches the Rfam family "Bacterial small subunit ribosomal RNA", at positions 524 to 776 of the family's 1533-position model. The record is from RNAcentral.
UACAGAGGGUGCGAGCGUUGUUCGGAAUUACUGGGCGUAAAGCGCGCGCAGGCGGCUCUUUAAGUCUCGUGGUCAAAUGCCGGGGCUCAACCCCGAGCGUGCCGGGGAUACUGGAGGGCUGGAGACAGGUAGGAGCAAGCGGGAAUUCCGGGUGUAGCGGUGGAAUGCGUAGAGAUCCGGAAGAACACCGGAGGCGAAGGCGGCUUGCUGGACCUGGUCUGGACGCUGAGGCGCGAAAGCGUGGGGAGCGAACAGG